RNAcentral lists this ribosomal RNA (520 nucleotides) under uncultured bacterium. Its description in RNAcentral is "bacterial SSU rRNA". It matches the Rfam family "Bacterial small subunit ribosomal RNA", at positions 8 to 518 of the family's 1533-position model. The record is from RNAcentral.
AGAGUUUGAUCCUGGCUUAGGAUGAACGCUAGCUACAGGCUUAACACAUGCAAGUCGAGGGGCAGCAUUGGAGUAGCAAUACUUCAGAUGGCGACCGGCGCACGGGUGAGUAACACGUAUCCAACCUGCCGCUUACUCGGGGAUAGCCUUUCGAAAGAAAGAUUAAUACCCGAUGGUAUAAAGAGUUCGCAUGUUCUCUUUAUUAAAGAAUUUCGGUAAGCGAUGGGGAUGCGUUCCAUUAGAUAGUUGGCGGGGUAACGGCCCACCAAGUCUACGAUGGAUAGGGGUUCUGAGAGGAAGGUCCCCCACAUUGGAACUGAGACACGGUCCAAACUCCUACGGGAGGCAGCAGUGAGGAAUAUUGGUCAAUGGACGAGGAGUCUGAACCAGCCAAAGUAGCGUGAAGGAUGACUGCCCUAUGGGUUGUAAACUUCUUUUAUAAGGGAAUAAAGUGAGGGACGUGUCCCUUUUUGUAUGUACCUUAUGAAUAAGGAUCGGCUAACUCCGUGCCAGCCGCCGC